This 378-nucleotide unclassified non-coding RNA is filed under the name plant metagenome. RNAcentral describes it as "partial contains 5.8S ribosomal RNA, internal transcribed spacer 2, and large subunit ribosomal RNA". The stretch from base 1 to 105 matches the Rfam family "5.8S ribosomal RNA", at positions 50 to 154 of the family's 154-position model. The record is from RNAcentral.
GAAAUGCGAUAAGUAAUGUGAAUUGCAGAAUUCAGUGAAUCAUCGAAUCUUUGAACGCACCUUGCGCUCCUUAGUAUUCCUGGGAGCAUGCCUGUUUGAGUAUCAUGAAAUCUUCAAAGUAAAUCUUUUGUUAACUCAAUUGGUUUCUACUUUGGUAUUGGAGGUCUUUGCAGCUUCACACCUGCUCCUCUUUGUUCAUUAGCUGGAUCUCAGUGUUAUGCUUGGUUCCACUCGGCGUGAUAAGUUAUCUAUCGCUGAGGACACUGUAAAAGGUGGCCAAGGUAAAUGCAGAUGAACCGCUUCUAAUAGUCCAUUGACUUGGCCAAUACUUUUAUGAUCUGAUCUCAAAUCAGGUAGGACUACCCGCUGAACUUAAGC